RNAcentral lists this ribosomal RNA (253 nucleotides) under uncultured bacterium. RNAcentral's name for it is "partial 16S ribosomal RNA". It matches the Rfam family "Bacterial small subunit ribosomal RNA", at positions 524 to 776 of the family's 1533-position model. The record is from RNAcentral.
UACAGAGGUCCCAAGCGUUGUUCGGAUUCACUGGGCGUAAAGGGUGCGUAGGUGGUGAGGUAAGUCCGAUGUGAAAGCUCCGAGCUCAACUCGGAAAUUGCAUUAGAAACUACCUUGCUAGAGGGUUGGAGAGGGUAGCGGAAUUCACGGUGUAGCAGUGAAAUGCGUAGAUAUCGUGAGGAACACCAGAGGCGAAGGCGGCUACCUGGACAAUUGCUGACGCUCAGGCACGAAAGCGUGGGGAGCAAAAGGG